RNAcentral lists this ribosomal RNA (281 nucleotides) under uncultured soil bacterium. RNAcentral's name for it is "partial 16S ribosomal RNA". It matches the Rfam family "Bacterial small subunit ribosomal RNA", at positions 26 to 310 of the family's 1533-position model. The record is from RNAcentral.
AGGACGAACGCUGGCGGCGUGCUUAACACAUGCAAGUCGAGCGGAAAGGCCCUUCGGGGUACUCGAGCGGCGAACGGGUGAGUAACACGUGAGUAAUCUGCCCAUCGCUUCAGGAUAGCCAUCGGAAACGGUGAUUAAUACUGGAUAUGACAUUCCUUCGCAUGUUGGGGUGUGGUAAAGUUUUUUCGGCGGUGGAUGUGCUCGCGGCCUAUCAGCUUGUUGGUGGGGUAAUGGCCUACCAAGGCUUUGACGGGUAGCCGGCCUGAGAGGGUGACCGGCCA